RNA transcript from Humulus lupulus (European hop), 2300 nucleotides. It is a transcript of the gene named brefeldin A-inhibited guanine nucleotide-exchange protein 5-like, with no coding region annotated. The record is from RefSeq and is a predicted model, not a curated record. The transcript has 8 exons. NCBI's taxonomy places the organism in Eukaryota, Viridiplantae, Streptophyta, Magnoliopsida, Rosales, Cannabaceae.
ACAAAAUUGUGGCUAUAUUCUGAAUGUGUCAUAUCACUACAACAAUUUUGACCAGAUAUAACAUUAAAAUAUGACAUAUUAUUAAAAACGUUAUUGAUACAUGCAUAAAAAAGAUACAGUAGGCGCCAAAUGAAAAAAGUGGGCGCGAAAUGAAAUUGACAAAAAUAAAAAAAGCUAAAACAAUAAAAAAUGGAGAAUGUUUUCUGAAUCCCUAAUCCCUUUACACACUGCCUCUCUCUCACACACACUCCAGUCAGUUCUCUCCCACUCUCACUCGCUCUUUCUUUCUCUCAGAGUCUAUCGGCUCUCUCUCCUUCAGUCCACUAUUCUUCAAUCCCUUCCAUUGAGCAGCUGAAGCACACCAUGACCGCACCAUUGUUGAAGCGAUGAGUCUCUUGUCCUUUUCCAUUGCUGUGUAUCUCUAUCGCUAGCUAGAAGCAAGAACCCAGGUGACUGUGAGUCUUCUCUUGCAGAUGGCUAGCGCAGGAGGCUUGACGGAGACGGUGACAGGGAUCGACCUUACGUGGGCCGACGAUAUCCUUCUUUCUCUGCUUUUGUUGUUGCAAAUCUGACAGUUAUGCUAAUCUACGAAGGUUAUGCUCUUAUUUUGAAUGGAUUUACUAGCUUUCACCAUUUAUCUUUCUUUUUUUGCCUUAAAUUGCAGCUACAAAUCUUUUUUCUGAUGAUAAUUUUGGACCUUAUUUUCUCUUAUGUACUCCAUUUUUAAGUUUUGUUCUUUUUUUUAUUGUGAGAUACCCAAACUCUUGAUUUCGAGAUUUAAUAUGUGAGUUAUAUUAGUGAUUUGGGGAUACUGUAACCCUUAAUUGAUAGCUUAGUAUAUGGACACACACAAAUGUACAUAUAUAAAGAUCCUACUUCCAUUUCCAAAAGGUGAAGAUAUUAUACAAAUGCAUCAAACCGAAUAAUCAAAACUCCAAGUUUAGUUUCUUACUUUUCUAUUUUUUCCUUUCCACUAACAAGAACUCAUUGAAAUUUAUGUAUUAUCUAAAGGCAUUUUUUUAAAAUUUGCUUUUGGUCAGUUUUUGUAGAAUUACGAAAUACUAAUUGUGUUGUUGAAGCUUGGGUUAUGAAAGUCCAAUGUUGAAAUUGCAUUUGAUGCUAAAUGGUUUGAGACAGUUGGCAGGGGCUUCAAACUGUGGGUAAUAUCUCUUUCUUUUUCUAUUAUUUAAUCUCAGUGCACAUAAUUACACUUGUUUUGUUAAUUUAAUUUCUUAUCUUUUUUGGGUUUAGCUUCUAUUAAUAUAUAUACACAUUUCCGUGCCUAUUGAUUCAGUUGAGGAAAAAAACGUUUAUCCAUGUGUAAAAUCACACCAAUGAGGAUUGUCUAAUGUCUGAUCAAUUUGAAGAAAUAAGAGUUUCUAUUUAAUGACACAUUUGAUUUAUAUAUUGUUAUUAGCUUGUUGUUCUCUCGUCUGUUUGGGAGUAUUUCAGGGCAUGAAUUGCGUGUAUAGACAAUGUCAUUGAUAGACUUAACUGGUUGUGAGUAUAGGCACCUAAGGGAUGGCUUGUACUAGUUGGCUAAAACCUAAUUUAAUCACAAUUGGGCUAUGCUAGCUGUUCAAUGAUUAUUGAAAGAUCCAAAAUGUUCAUGUGGGUCUUGAGUGGCUUCAUUGGAUUUCAAAUUGGAGGGAACUUUAUUUGCAGCAGUUUGCAAUAGAUCUCUCUUUCGCAACUAGCAAAAGUCUAAGAUUGGGGAGAAUUGCGGAACGAGGGGAAUUUUGAUUGAAGAAAGUAAAAAUGGCGGGUGGUGCAGCUGGUGGUUUUGUUACACGUGCAUUUGAGUCGAUGCUGAAAGAAUGUUCGGGGAAAAAACAUCCAGAACUUCAGAAGGCUAUUCAGAAUUAUAUAGAUGGUACGAAAGAGGUCAAUCAGGUUCAGCCUUCCGCUUCCAGUGAGACAAAAAAAGCUGCAUCGGUUGCUGGUGAUGAGAGGUAUGGAAAAUACUUGAAAUCGUACUGCGAGAAGGUUCGGUACAGGGUCUUCCCCGGAAUUUACUGAGAAAAUGUUGCACAAGUGUUUGUUCUAUGUUGAGAAUGGCAUGUAUAUUCAGCCUUUCCAAAUUAAAUGAUGGCAGGCUGGUAUCAUGUUGUUGUUAUUGUUGUUUUUGUAAUGGUCAACUUUAUGGAUGUUGUAUUUCUCUCAUCUUCAAUGACCAAAAACUUUUCUUGUUUAGGAAAAUUACUAUAAAGUUUUGUUUCUAUUUUUCAUUUUUGAAGUAAAAAUUGUUCAAGAUUAUAAAAUUUUAUUAUGUUAUACUUUCAAACUUAAGUUAGAACUAA